This 445-nucleotide ribosomal RNA is filed under the name uncultured bacterium. RNAcentral describes it as "partial 16S ribosomal RNA". It matches the Rfam family "Bacterial small subunit ribosomal RNA", at positions 354 to 796 of the family's 1533-position model. The record is from RNAcentral.
GUGAGGAAUAUUGGUCAAUGGACGAGAGUCUGAACCAGCCAAGUAGCGUGAAGGAUGACUGCCCUAUGGGUUGUAAACUUCUUUUAUAAGGGAAUAAAGUGAGGGACGUGUCCCUUUUUGUAUGUACCUUAUGAAUAAGGAUCGGCUAACUCCGUGCCAGCAGCCGCGGUAAUACGGAGGAUCCAAGCGUUAUCCGGAUUUAUUGGGUUUAAAGGGAGCGUAGGUUGACAUAUAAGUCAGCUGUGAAAGUUUACGGCUCAACCGUGAAAUUGCAGUUGAUACUGUAUGUCUUGAGUGUACAAGAGGUGGGCGGAAUUCGUGGUGUAGCGGUGAAAUGCUUAGAUAUCACGAAGAACUCCAAUUGCGAAGGCAGCUCACUGGGGUACAACUGACACUGAGGCUCGAAAGUGUGGGUAUCAAACAGGAUUAGAUACCCGGGUAGUCC